RNAcentral lists this long non-coding RNA (649 nucleotides) under Vigna radiata. RNAcentral's name for it is "long non-coding RNA (VRAD_LNC014856)". Lineage: Eukaryota; Viridiplantae; Streptophyta; Magnoliopsida; Fabales; Fabaceae. The record is from RNAcentral.
CACACAUUCUCGGACUCCAUUUUUUCAUUUUGGGGGCUGCUGCAACGUAUUGAGAGGGGGGAUUUUCUUCUUUAAAAAAGGUUUUAAAUGGAGCUUCCUGCGGAGAUGGCAGUGGACACGGGUUGAAGAUUAUGUUUUCCUUUUGCAAUGAGUUAAUUUCAAAUUGAGAAUGAAGGCUUAUUUAACUCUUUGCCAUUUUUUUUAUUUUAUCGGUACACUUUUUAAUUGAGCUCACUGCUGCAUUGUUAUACAAUUUUUUUUCUCAUAUUAUGCAAGUUGAUUUACAUGUUGUUGUAGUAGUUUGGAUAUCCAGUUUGCUUGCAUUUAAUUCAGCACUUUUAUUUGGUUCAUUCUCGGUCCUUUCAACUUUUAUUUUUUUUAUUAUUUGGUGAUAUCCAUUCUCGGUGCUUUCAACUUUUAUUUGAUAUCCAUUUUUUUUUAAUUGAGGCCAUGAUUUAUUUAGCUUGAAAAAAAAAUAUGCAAAUGCUUUUAUGUGCACGUUAAUUGACAGAGGCAAUGGAUUUUGGCUUUAAGUGUUUAUUUUAUUCAUGCUAAUUAAUUUUGGUUUUGGUGUACCCCACGCUGAUUUCAUCAAACGGAACAAAUUGCACAUAUUUACUUUCUUCUUAGCGGUGCACGAGAAUUUUGG